Long non-coding RNA from Phyllopteryx taeniolatus (common seadragon), 1612 nucleotides. RefSeq lists it as uncharacterized. The record is from RefSeq and is a predicted model, not a curated record. The transcript is spliced from 3 exons. Lineage: Eukaryota; Metazoa; Chordata; Actinopteri; Syngnathiformes; Syngnathidae.
GUGUUGUCAACCACCAACAAAACUGCAGGGGGUCCAGCAGGGGUCCUGUGAUGCUCUUAAGGUGGUCCAGCACGAGGCAUUCAAUUCUCAUUCACUGCCAUAGAUGAUUAUAUUUGUCAACUGGAAUCCAAAUAUUUACUGCCACCGAAAAAUAUAUUCAACAAGCACAUUUUUCCAAUGGGUAGGCGUGGAAGAGGGUCUCACCUAACUCGUCUGUGAAAUUCAAGCUUCUACAUAACUGUACUGACAAACAGAUGCCAGCAGAUGGGAGUGUUAUAUCACUUUGGAUUUGAGAUCAACACAGCUUUUGAGUAUGGGGUGAAUCUCGGCUGGUCACAUCGAUUAUGAGGGAGAAGUCUACAACUUGAUUCCCCCCAAUCAUGAGCUUGAUUGUGCUUUUGACUCAGAUCACUAUCGCCACGGCUUCAUUGUGCCGGGAAUUUGGUAGACAAAAAGCAGGAAAUGGCCAGGAGUCACACAAGCCAUGUGCAGGGAGGCACAUACGUCGGAGAGAGCAAGAAAGAGCGAGCGACCGCGAGAGAGAGAUAUAUGUGUCAUCGAGCUGCUUGUCAUCCAGGCUGCUGUCCUGCAUGCAGCCUGACUGGCUCAAGUAGUGAUAGGACUCAGGACCCUCAGACAGCAAAUACAUAUCUGCAACAAAAGACCGAUUGGAGUCUCGAUGCUUUACAAGUAGAACACAUCAUUUGCUUGGUUUAAUGACAGAGAAAUACAGAUGCAUCUGAAUAUAUUAUAAUGUGGUAGAAAAGCUAAUUAUUUCUACCUUGGUAUCAUGCAUUUUUACAAAGUAUGUUUUUGCUUCUACCCAUAUGAUCAAACAUGAAGUAUUAUCUGUAUUUUGUUAGUUUUUUCAAGUAAUUAUUCUGAAGCACUUUAUUUGAACGCAUAAUACUUUUUUAUUUACUUGCUCUUAUUGUGAAAUUCACAGCCCUACUUUUAUUUAGUAAAUGAGAAAAAACACACAGUGGUGCUCAUAUGUUUGAUUACCCAGGCAGAAUUUGUAAGAGGUGUACAAUUCUUUAAAGAAAACAUGAAGGACCAGGCGAAACACAUUUAAUUUCAUUUAAAUGGGAUUCAAAUUAAACUGUCAAGCAUUUCAGUAAAGCAUUAUCAUUAAACAAAACAUAACCAUAAAGAAAUUAAUAAUGGUUGUUGUUCAGUCAUCAGUCGUAUUUAAAAAAAAAAAUAAAUAAUAAUAAUAAUAUUUCACUAAUUCUGCCUGGGUAUGUAAACCUAUGAGCACAAUAUAUAUAUAUUGCAUAUAUGCAGUCAUAUGUACCCCUGUCACAUUGGAAUGAAAGUGUAGGCUACACAUUUUUAACCUCUAGAAUGAAAGUGUACAACUUUUUCAUAACCUCUAGAUGGCGGCAUACAUUCAUAGAAUGAGAGUCUUUCAUUUUCUCCUAUGCCUAUGUAUAAUGCAAACUAUUGUCUUUUGACCAUUUUUGGGGGGGGAAAUGCAUCUUAUACACGAGAAAGUACGGUACACUACCUAAUUUCCAUUGAAAACAAUUAUUUUGAUGGUUCCUGUUUUGAAGUCUUCCACUGUAUUCUAAUGUAUUGGGCUGCGCCUGUAUGUCCUUUUAAAGUGCAA